ACAGGAUUAGAUACCCUGGUAGUCCAUGCCGUAAACGUUGGGCACUAGGUGUGGGGGACAUUCCACGUUUUCCGCGCCGUAGCUAACGCAUUAAGUGCCCCGCCUGGGGAGUACGGCCGCAAGGCUAAAACUCAAAGGAAUUGACGGGGGCCCGCACAAGCGGCGGAGCAUGCGGAUUAAUUCGAUGCAACGCGAAGAACCUUACCCAAGGCUUGACAUGAACCGGAAAGACCUGGAAACAGGUGCCCCGCUUGCGGUCGGUUUACAGGUGGUGCAUGGUUGUCGUCAGCUCGUGUCGUGAGAUGUUGGGUUAAGUCCCGCAACGAGCGCAACCCUCGUUCUAUGUUGCCAGCACGUGAUGGUGGGGACUCAUAGGAGACUGCCGGGGUCAACUCGGAGGAAGGUGGGGACGACGUCAAAUCAUCAUGCCCCUUAUGUCUUGGGCUUCACGCAUGCUACAAUGGCCGGUACAAAGGGUUGCGAUACUGUGAGGUGGAGCUAAUCCCAAAAAGCCGGUCUCAGUUCGGAUUGGGGUCUGCAACUCGACCCCAUGAAG
Molecule: ribosomal RNA, 556 nt
Filed under: Arthrobacter sp. RU-89
Lineage: Bacteria; Bacillati; Actinomycetota; Actinomycetes; Micrococcales; Micrococcaceae
Description: bacterial SSU rRNA
Rfam family: Bacterial small subunit ribosomal RNA
Source: RNAcentral